UCUAAGAGUGGCAGAAAAGUGCCAUGAACUUAAAAUUCAUUCAUAAAUUAAUUUCCUUAGAA
RNAcentral lists this transfer RNA (62 nucleotides) under Orthopagus splendens. Its description in RNAcentral is "tRNA-Leu". Lineage: Eukaryota; Metazoa; Arthropoda; Insecta; Hemiptera; Dictyopharidae. The record is from RNAcentral.